GAUGAACGCUGGCGGCGUGCCUAAUACAUGCAAGUCGAGCGAACAGACGAGGAGCUUGCGCCUCUGACGUUAGCGGCGGACGGGUGAGUAACACGUGGAUAACCUACCUAUAAGACUGGGAUAACUUCGGGAAACCGGAGCUAAUACCGGAUAAUACAUUGAACCGCAUGGUGCAAUAGUGAAAGACGGUUUUGCUGUCUCUUAUAGAUGGAUCCGCUCUGCAUUAGCUAGUUGGUAAGGUAACGGCUCACCAAGGCAACGAUGCGUAGCCGACCUGAGAGGGUGAUCAGCCACACUGGAACUGAGACACGGUCCAGACUCCUACGGGAGGCAGCAGUAGGGAAUCUUCCGCGAUGGGCGCAAGCCUGACCGAGCCACGCCGCGUGAGUUAAGAAGGCCUUCGGAUCGUAAAGCUCUGUUGUUAGGGAAGAACAAAUGUGUAAGUAACUCUGCACGUCCUGACGGUACCUAAACAGAAAGCCCCGGCUAACUACGUG
This 497-nucleotide ribosomal RNA is filed under the name uncultured bacterium. RNAcentral's name for it is "partial 16S ribosomal RNA". It matches the Rfam family "Bacterial small subunit ribosomal RNA", at positions 28 to 507 of the family's 1533-position model. The record is from RNAcentral.